CUGAGAUGGAGGAAGACGCCCAAGCAAGGCAAGCAGAGUUUGGAAAUGUCAAAACCGUGGUCGGUCAUAGAGUUUACAGCGCGCCUCACCCAACCAAUCAGUUGGUUUGAGUCCACUCUGCCUCUGUCGGAGUUGGUUGGAGAGUGAGAUCAGCACGAUACUGUGCGUAAAAUCUACCCGUCAGACCAGCAGUGCCAUGGAAGGCAGAGCUCAGGUGGCAAAGUCCAUUCGUAUACACACUAAAUAACUUUUCUAACGGAUACUAUAUGCUGUGCAUAUGUUUUUUGCAAAAACCGAUGAUGUGAAGUAGAAAGGUCCGUCUCCAUCGACUCAGUUGCGCCGAGGAACAAUGCUGAAAACAGCAGCAGGAUUUUCUGACACAGCUUCCAAACUGCCAAAUCUCUGUUGGACUCCAUCCUUUGAUCCACAAGACAUCUGAAUCUGGCAUCAACAUGGAGAGUCUCAGUGAGCUCCAGAACCCCCUGCUAGACAAAACCAGCAGACAUGUUGUCCACAGUGACUACCAGGGUUACCAGUGUGACUGCUCGAGCCAGCCUUACCAAAACAACCUCACUGGCUAUUGCUACAAUGGGACUAAUGGCAAGCAUAAGACUCAGCAGUUCCUGGAUGCAACAUCCCUGCAUCUAGCUGUGGAGGCCUUCUACAGGCCCAACAUCAUACUGUACAAGGACAACGUCAGCCUUCACAGCAAAGACUCCAAGAGCGAGAGCUUUGAGACUACAUUCACAGAGAGUAAGGACGCUGUUUCAGAUGGAGUGUCUAUAGAAAACACACCAGACAACAUACAAGGACAGAAGGAUGUGAAGAUCCACACAGUGUCGUACGAGGUGGAGGAUGAGCAGGGUCCUGAGUAUGAGAGUGACAGCUCCAGUGACAGUGAGAGUGAGGACAACUUCCUCGUGCUGCCCCCUCGAGACUACCUAGGCCUUGCCAUCUUCUCCAUGCUCUGCUGCUUCUGGCCCUUGGGCAUUGUCGCCUUUUACUACUCCCACAAGACUGGCAAGGCCAUCGCUAAGGGAGACUUCUCAAGAGCAGGAAUAAGCUCCAGAAGAGCCCUAUUCCUGGCUGCUCUUUCCAUUACCAUUGGAACGGGGAUGUAUGUGGGGGUGGUUGUGGCCCUCAUAGCGUACCUGUCCAAGCCUGGACACGUAUAGCACUGGUUCGCUGGGGAUGGGGGAGACAAAGAGAACAAGGAGGCAAGAUGGGAGGAGAGGAAAACACAAGGCUGGACAGAUCUCUUGGCCUCUCCUGAAGACAGGGUGUCUGUGCUGCUGCCUGACUGUCUGCGCUAAGAAGAUGCUAUAUAAAGAGAGAAGGCUAACCCAGAGAAAGAGAGAGAUAAAACAAAACAAGAUGUGUGGAUGGACUAUCACUUGGACUGCAUAUUGAUCUGGACUAAAUCUGUCUUUUUAGGAUGCAACACUCCUGCCAAGCUUCUCUCCAAGUAAAUCUCGAAUGCAUGAAAUGUGGCUCGAUGGGGGAGACAGGGGCGAAAGUGACGCUCUCAUCAAUGGGAGCUGGAUGGGGUGUUGAAGUGGGCUCACUCUAUGAGCAAGUGCAGCGGUGCAUGUAUAUUCUCUCCCUCAAUAGAUAGGAAGCUUCACCCACGCCUGCUCGCUCACUCCCUCACGUCAUCUAUAGCUAGCUCAGACCACCAGAAGCAAACUGAUUUUAUUAGUCAUCCACCCCACAAGAAUUACAAACUUCCCAAGAGGCAACAGCAGCUUGAAUCUGAACUUCUGCACUUUGUUUUAUGUGAAAACUUUUCUAGAUAAAAAACAAUGACAAAAGGGUUGAAAAAAUGGAUAAGAAACUGAAAAGGAAUGUAAAGACAAAAAACAUUCAAACUGAGUGCUACAUUAAUAAGGUCCAUGAUGCUCUUGACUGCUCAUGCAGCUGAAAGGCAUUUUCAGAUUUUCAUCAUUGCUUCGAUCAAAUAUCUGUCACCACUCUCUCUACUGGUGGAAGACAGACAUAUCUUCAGUUUGCAUCAUGCCUCUGCAAAAGAGGAUUUAGUGGUUGCAACAAUUAUGGUAAGAAAGCUAUGGAUGUACAGGCUAUAUUCUCUCAUCUUACUGACAUUUUGAAGAAAAGAAAUCCUAGAAAACUAUCAAGUGUAAUGCCAGAAAAUUAGAUUCAACAGACAAAUUUUCAGCUUACCACUUCUUAAAACCAAAAUGGCAGGAGGAUGAGGAGUGUGGAAACUGUGCACUUGGGGAAAUAGUGGUUAUCUUGUACCAGCAGAACAACCUCUCUGGCUCUGUAUUAUGCGACACAUCUUAAAUCAAAACCACUAACUUCAUUUGGUAGAUUACAGACACUUGCAUGCUGUUUUAAAUAAAUACAUCCAGAGAUCAUUUUCUGUGCAGGCGGAUAAAUUUGAAUAUUCCAGGGACACUUUCUACAGUAGGUUAACGGCGGUACCAGUGAUGUUGAUAAUCACUUUUAUUGGCCAAGUAUGUUACACACAGAAGGAGUUCUUCUCUGGUAAGAACCAAGGCAGCCAUCUGUGGCUACAUGCAAACACACCAAUGGUGGCACUGUCCUGGCUAUUGGGAAGAACUUAGGGCCUUUCACAAGGACACAGUUAGGGGACAACCACUCUACCUUUUGAGCCACAGAUGUCCCAAAGUAACUGCAAAGCUUUACACCCAACAUGGGUUUCAAACCCAUGGUUUAUCUGGUCUUCCCAUAAAGACUGUUAGACAGCUUCAGCUCAGUCAGACCUUGCUGCCAGUCUUAACCAGAACCAGGAGAACUGAGCACAUCAUUCCUGUUCUUAAAUCCUUACACUGGCUACCAUUUACCUACAGAAUUGAUUUUAAAGUGUUUCUGUUAGUUUAAAAGUCAUUCAGUGGUAUGGGGCCAAAGUACAUUUCUAAUCUCCUUGAAGAAUCCAAACCCAGCAGGGCUUUGAGAUCUUUAGGAGGCAGUCUGCUGGUAGAUUGGGUCAGAACCAAACAGGGUGAAGCAGCUUUUAGCUUCUAUGCUAUACACAGACAUAACAAGCUUAUCUUCACUUUGUCUCCACUGAUUCUAUUCUGGUUUUAGUGCUUUUUGUUUUUAAUGCUAUUG
This is an RNA transcript of Monopterus albus (swamp eel), 3096 nucleotides long. It is a transcript of the gene named synapse differentiation-inducing gene protein 1-like, with no coding region annotated. The record is from RefSeq and is a predicted model, not a curated record. Lineage: Eukaryota; Metazoa; Chordata; Actinopteri; Synbranchiformes; Synbranchidae. The transcript has 5 exons.